This 48-nucleotide small nucleolar RNA is filed under the name Pyrobaculum islandicum DSM 4184. Its description in RNAcentral is "PISsR36". The record is from RNAcentral. Lineage: Archaea; Thermoproteati; Thermoproteota; Thermoprotei; Thermoproteales; Thermoproteaceae.
GUGAUGAACUCACCGAUGUUGAUCUAUGAUAUGGCCGUCCCAGUCUGA